ACUGUUGUUGUUUUGCCUUUAGCCACCCUUAUACAAUCUUGGACACACCCCUGCUUUGGAUCCUGGUGUGUAUCAGAAACAUGCAUUUCUUUCACUUCAGAAGAUGAAUACAGAUGCUGACGUUGUUUCGGCUUGGAUUAAUUGAUAGUUUUUUAAAAUAACCAUUUUUUUUGUUCACAGCACAGUUAAGCAGAUUGAGCCAAAAAACGUCCAGAAGAAAAUGGGGGGAGGAAGUUCCAGUCAGAGAGCAAUGGAACUGGAUAGAAGAGCGAUGGAACUGGAUAGAAGAGCAAUGGAACUGGAUAGAAGAGAGAUGGAACCGAAGACAAGAGCUCCUACGUGUUGUGGUUGCUGCUUCAUUCAAAUAGCAUCAGAGAAAAGAGAUGAAUCUACUAACAUAAUCAAUUCACAAGUUAGUACUGAAAACACAUCACAUACUGAAGGUAGGUUAAGUUUGACUUUCAAGUCAGGCAUUCUGUAACCUAUCAGACCCUCACACUCACCAGACUUCUGAUCACUGUAAUGUCUGUUUUGGGUUUUGUUUCAUGUUCAUGUUUUCAUGUCUUUUAUUUUGUUAUUGUUUGAUUUUGCUGUUUGUGUCAUGCUUCCCUUGCCCUCAUGUAUCUCUGCUUUGUGUAUGUGUCAUGUUCUCAUUGGUUAUUGUCUGGUCAUGUGAUUAUCAGUUGUGUUUGUUCUCAUUGGUUGCUUUAGUCAUGUGUCUUGUUCCCAUUGGUUUGCUCUUGUCAUGUGACCCUCAUUGUUUGUAUAAGUAGUCAUGUUUUUGUCAUUAGCGCUUGUCGUGUAUUAACGUUGUAACCUGCUAUCGUCAAGUCAAGUCAAGUCAAGUCAAGUCUUUGUUUACUGUUUGGAUUAUAUUUGGAUUUUGGAUUGUACCAUUGUGAAUAAAACUGCACUUGGGUUCAUCGCUACGCUUGCCUUCAGUGGACAGAAUACACGACCCUAAAAAUGAACCCAGCAGUUGUUCGUCUCCUGCGUCUUAGCCAAGGAAACCAGGCCAUUGAGGACUAUGUGGAGGACUUUUGUGGUUUGUGUCAUCUGGUGGAUUUUAAUGAUGUGGCCCUUAAGGACAUAUUUCGGGUGGGUCUUAAUGAGCCCAUUUGCUCUCAGCUUCCUGGGGGAAAAAUUCACUGGUCCCUGGAGGAAUAUAUUGACCAUGCUCUUUUCCUGGCUGGUUCAUCAUUUACUGUGGGGAUUGCUGAUGAGGAACACAGCUAUCCCACAGUACCCGCCACAUCAGAACUUUUCCACGUCCCAACCGUCAUGUCAGGACCUGCUCACGUCAUGCCUGCCAAGCCAGCACCUGUUCACGUCAUGCCUGCUACGCCAGAGCCUACUCACAUCUUAAUAUGUUGUGUUAUUCUAUUAUAUAUAUAAUGUUAAUUACUCAAUAUGGUAUUAUCUUGUUUAAACUAUUAUGUAUGACUAUGAAAGUAAUCAAUAUACUGAUCAAUAUGCUGAAUUAUUCCCAAAUACUCUUUGGCUGUAUAAAGGCCCUCCCAUUGGGUAGUACUGCUAGUUUUCCAUUGAACUGCACCUGUUAACUGAAGUAACACUAUGACUUUGGGUGAGUUCCAGAAGUUGACAGAUUUGAUGAAUGUGUUCUGGGAUCACUGCCUACCAGUAGUAGGUGGCAAAAUGAAAGUUUUCUUAAAAAUGGUUGAUAAGGCCAAGUUUCACCAAUAAAAAAUGGACCAGCUGGGCAAGUAAUAAAUUGUGGAAAACCAGACAUAGCCAUUGGCAUAGCCAAUAAAAAAACGGAACUACCAAUUAUGGUAAGAAAGAGAGGUAGAAAUAUGGGUGCCCGGACAGACAAAAACUGUGUUCAAUAAAGUCUAAUUUUGGCAUCUGGAACUCCGUUUCUUGAGUUUUAUUUUAUGACUUUGAGAAGACCAUUGUUUGUUCCACAUCGCACCCUGGCACUAACAACACACCCCCGAAGCUGAUCAACCUUCAUCACCAGCAUUAAAGCACCCCAGUCAUUGCCUUGUUCGAUGCGACAGACCUCUUACAUCCUGUUGACCACAAUUGCUACGCCAGUUACCUUGUUCAAGUUUAUGUCAGUUAUCUUAAACCCUGCAGGUAUUCCAACCUGUCUUCCAAGUGUCCUCUGUCUCAACUUGUUUGUUUGUGUGCUCAACCGGCUCUAUAAGACAAAGACUGAAAUUUAUCCAAUUUUUUUUACUCUCACCAUUUAGCUCCACAUUUGUCAUUUACCUGUUUAUCAAUUGUGUUCCUGCUAAAACAUCUAAUAAACCAACCUGUUUAAGUUGACCUCAUUUCUGGUCAUUUCGGUCUGCGUCUGUACCUGACAGUAUGCAAUGUUUUUCUAAAACACUUUUUGUUAUAGCCUACUGGUUUAAUCUGGUUUCUCCAUCUGAUUAGAUAAAAAAAGUAUUUAGUUUAUCAUCAAAGUUUUGGAAAUAAAAUGUUUUGAAGGCCAACUUGUCAGCGGUUCAGACUUGUUAGGGUAGCAGAGAAUUAAGAUCAGUGUAAGGCUGAGAUACUUAUUCAAACAAGUGUUUGAUUAGAUAAUUUAUAUAUUAAUAUAGCUUUAAAAAAGUUGCUAUUUGUAGCUUCCAUGCAAUGAC
Molecule: long non-coding RNA, 2609 nt
Organism: Cyprinus carpio carpio
Lineage: Eukaryota; Metazoa; Chordata; Actinopteri; Cypriniformes; Cyprinidae
Source: Ensembl